UGCAACUUGUUCGUUGGUAGCUUUUUGCCUAGAUUAGAAUAUAGGAUCAUUUUUUCCGCGAAGUGGACCAGAAACCGAUCUAUUC
This is a long non-coding RNA of Rhagoletis zephyria (snowberry fruit fly), 85 nucleotides long. RefSeq lists it as uncharacterized. Lineage: Eukaryota; Metazoa; Arthropoda; Insecta; Diptera; Tephritidae. The record is from RefSeq and is a predicted model, not a curated record.